GCAUGUUGGGGCAAUCUGGCUGCGACCUGUGUAUGUCCGCUGAUGGCCAGAGCUGAUUCAGCUGAUCUGACUUUCUAGGUGGUUAAAUCCCCUUCCUUGCUCACCACUCCCUGUGUAUCCCUCCCGAAGCUGCAUGCUGCAGUGAAGAAGGCAACCUUUCCCAAAUAGAGGGCCAAUCUUUGGUCAAGGAUAUAUGAGUAGCAGUGCUUCCCUGCUAGAACCUCCAAACAAGCUCUCAAAAUUCCUUGGACAAGGUGGGCCCUGAAACAAUCUUUAAUUAAGCCUCAGGAAAAGCACACAAUCCCUUCUAUUUCCU
Molecule: small nuclear RNA, 316 nt
Filed under: Jaculus jaculus (lesser Egyptian jerboa)
Lineage: Eukaryota; Metazoa; Chordata; Mammalia; Rodentia; Dipodidae
Description: 7SK RNA (ENSJJAG00000001814.1)
Rfam family: 7SK RNA
About the family: 7SK was discovered as an abundant small nuclear RNA in the mid-70s but a possible function has only recently been suggested. Two independent studies have found that 7SK RNA binds the CDK9/cyclin T complex (known as elongation factor P-TEFb).
Source: Rfam by way of RNAcentral